UACAGAGGUGCCAAGCGUUGUUCGGAUUUACUGGGCGUAAAGGGUGCGUAGGUGGCCUGACAAGUCGGAUGUGAAAUCCCGGAGCUUAACUCCGGAAUGGCAUCCGAAACUGUCUGGCUCGAGGUCUGGAGAGGUGACUGGAAUGCUCGGUGUAGCAGUGAAAUGCGUAGAUAUCGAGUAGAACACCAGAGGCGAAAGCGGGUCACUGGACAGAUUCUGACACUGAGGCACGAAAGCCAGGGGAGCAAAC
This 250-nucleotide ribosomal RNA is filed under the name uncultured bacterium. Its description in RNAcentral is "partial 16S ribosomal RNA". It matches the Rfam family "Bacterial small subunit ribosomal RNA", at positions 524 to 773 of the family's 1533-position model. The record is from RNAcentral.